This is a ribosomal RNA of Halothermothrix orenii H 168, 117 nucleotides long. Lineage: Bacteria; Bacillati; Bacillota; Clostridia; Halanaerobiales; Halothermotrichaceae. The record is from Rfam.
UCCGGUGGCAAUAGCGGAGGGGCAACACCUGUUCCCAUUCCGAACACAGAAGUUAAGUCCUCCAGCGCCUAUGGUACUGCGGGGGUAACCCCGUGGGAGAGUAGGUCGCUGCCGGAU